AACGAACGCUGGCGGCAUGCCUAACACAUGCAAGUCGAACGAGACCUUCGGGUCUAGUGGCGCACGGGUGCGUAACGCGUGGGAAUCUGCCCUUGGGUUCGGAAUAACAGUGAGAAAUUACUGCUAAUACCGGAUGAUGUCUUCGGACCAAAGAUUUAUCGCCCAGGGAUGAGCCCGCGUAGGAUUAGCUAGUUGGUGGGGUAAUGGCCUACCAAGGCGACGAUCCUUAGCUGGUCUGAGAGGAUGAUCAGCCACACUGGGACUGAGACACGGCCCAGACUCCUACGGGAGGCAGCAGUGGGGAAUAUUGGACAGUGGGCGCAAGCCUGAUCCAGCAAUGCCGCGUGAGUGAUGAAGGCCUUAGGGUUGUAAAGCUCUUUUACCCGGGAUGAUAAUGACAGUACCGGGAGAAUAAGCUCCGGCUAACUCCGUG
This 433-nucleotide ribosomal RNA is filed under the name uncultured bacterium. Its description in RNAcentral is "partial 16S ribosomal RNA". It matches the Rfam family "Bacterial small subunit ribosomal RNA", at positions 29 to 507 of the family's 1533-position model. The record is from RNAcentral.